UGGGGAAUAUUGGACAAUGGGCGCAAGCCUGAUCCAGCAAUGCCGCGUGGGUGAAGAAGGUCCUCGGAUUGUAAAGCCCUUUCGGCGGGGACGAUGAUGACGGUACCCGCAGAAGAAGCCCCGGCUAACUUCGUGCCAGCAGCCGCGGUAAUACGAAGGGGGCUAGCGUUGCUCGGAAUGACUGGGCGUAAAGGGCGCGUAGGCGGCGCACUUAGUCAGGCGUGAAAGUCCUGGGCUCAACCUGGGAACUGCGCUUGAGACGGGUGUGCUGGAGGACGGAAGAGGCUCGCGGAAUUCCCAGUGUAGAGGUGAAAUUCGUAGAUAUUGGGAAGAACACCGGUGGCGAAGGCGGCGAGCUGGUCCGUAUCUGACGCUGAGGCGCGACAGCGUGGGGAGCAAACAGG
Molecule: ribosomal RNA, 404 nt
Filed under: uncultured bacterium
Lineage: Bacteria
Description: bacterial SSU rRNA
Rfam family: Bacterial small subunit ribosomal RNA
Source: RNAcentral